RNAcentral lists this ribosomal RNA (645 nucleotides) under Salmonella enterica. RNAcentral's name for it is "partial 23S ribosomal RNA". It matches the Rfam family "Bacterial large subunit ribosomal RNA", at positions 1 to 688 of the family's 2925-position model. Lineage: Bacteria; Pseudomonadati; Pseudomonadota; Gammaproteobacteria; Enterobacterales; Enterobacteriaceae. The record is from RNAcentral.
GGUUAAGCGACUAAGCGUACACGGUGGAUGCCCUGGCAGUCAGAGGCGAUGAAGGGCGUGCUAAUCUGCGAUAAGCGCCGGUAAGGUGAUAUGAACCGUUAUAACCGGCGAUACCCGAAUGGGGAAACCCAGUGUGACUCGUCACACUAUCAUUAACUGAAUCCAUAGGUUAAUGAGGCGAACCGGGGGAACUGAAACAUCUAAGUACCCCGAGGAAAAGAAAUCAACCGAGAUUCCCUCAGUAGCGGCGAGCGAACGGGGAGGAGCCCAGAGCCUGAAUCAGCAUGUGUGUUAGUGGAAGCGUCUGGAAAGGCGCGCGAUACAGGGUGACAGCCCCGUACACAAAAGCGCAUAUGCUGUGAGCUCGAUGAGUAGGGCGGGACACGUGGUAUCCUGUCUGAAUAUGGGGGGACCAUCCUCCAAGGCUAAAUACUCCUGACUGACCGAUAGUGAACCAGUACCGUGAGGGAAAGGCGAAAAGAACCCCGGUGAGGGGAGUGAAAAAGAACCUGAAACCGUGUACGUACAAGCAGUGGGAGCACCCUUUGGGGUGUGACUGCGUACCUUUUGUAUAAUGGGUCAGCGACUUAUAUUCUGUAGCAAGGUUAACCGAAUAGGGGAGCCGGAGGGAAACCGAGUCUUAAU